AUGGCCGCGGCGCACCAGAUCCCCAAGGUCGCCCACACCCUCGUCGAGAUCGCCGAGGUCGCGCGCUACGCCUACGAGCACCGCUCCGGCCACGCCCCGGACCACGACGGCGCCACGGCGAUGGCCGCCGACGGGGAGGAGGCCGCGCGGCUGCGGGCGGAUAACGCCGUCCUCCGCGCCCGCCUCGCGGACGACCUCGCCCUCCUUCGCGAGCUUCAGGGCGCGCCCUUUGUUUCCCAGGAGUGCCCUCCCGACUUGCAUAAUCGUCUCGUAGCAUCAGUCAACAAUGCUGGCUUCCUUGCUCAUCUUGAGAAAGUACGAGAUGAGCCGCUGCAUCAACAUACCAAACUAUCUAUUGGCAGUGUGACAGAGGUGGACAUUGGAGAUAUUCCUUACACUAAAGAUGAGGGGAAGACUGGGUCAUGGCUCUUGGUUUCCUGUGACACUGCUGGGGGCAAUUUGGAGGAAAUUAGUGGAAUUGAUGACGAAAAUUAUGUGAUGGUUAAUGAAGAUGACAUCGUUGAUGCUAUUGCUACCUUUGUUGCUAGGUGCAUUCUUGAAGAUCCAAAGUCCAAGUCAUUAUCAUCGAAAGAGCUGCAAAAAGGUAUGACUAUCCUCCAUGCUUCUGCCCUUGAAGUUAAAAUUUGUAAUUUUCUAAAUGGUGUUUUGUUUCCGAAAUCAUUGCUUUCAAACAGUGAGACAAGCACAUGGGUUAAUUAA
Molecule: ribosomal RNA, 720 nt
Filed under: Triticum aestivum (bread wheat)
Lineage: Eukaryota; Viridiplantae; Streptophyta; Magnoliopsida; Poales; Poaceae
Description: partial small subunit ribosomal RNA
Source: RNAcentral